RNAcentral lists this transfer RNA (72 nucleotides) under Canis lupus familiaris (dog). It matches the Rfam family "tRNA". Rfam says of the family: Transfer RNA (tRNA) molecules are approximately 80 nucleotides in length. Their secondary structure includes four short double-helical elements and three loops (D, anti-codon, and T loops). Lineage: Eukaryota; Metazoa; Chordata; Mammalia; Carnivora; Canidae. The record is from Rfam by way of RNAcentral. RNAcentral also lists the same sequence under 1 other name.
GUCUGGCUGGCCCAUGGGUAGAGUGUGUGACUCCUGAUCACAGGAUCAUGAGUUCAAGCCCCAUGUUGGGUG